GGUGCCGUAGGCAAACUGGUAAAGCCACAGAACUUUCAAUUCUGCGUUUGCGGGUUCGACUCCCGUCGGCACUG
RNAcentral lists this transfer RNA (74 nucleotides) under Leptolyngbyaceae cyanobacterium LF-bin-113. It matches the Rfam family "tRNA". From Rfam's summary of the family: Transfer RNA (tRNA) molecules are approximately 80 nucleotides in length. The record is from Rfam by way of RNAcentral. Lineage: Bacteria; Bacillati; Cyanobacteriota; Cyanophyceae; Leptolyngbyales; Leptolyngbyaceae.